AAGCGGAGGAAAAGAAACCAACAGGGAUUGCCCUAGUAACGGCGAGUGAAGCGGCAACAGCUCAAAUUUGAAAUCUGGCGUCAGCCCGAGUUGUAAUUUGUAGAGGAUGCUUCUGGGUAGCGGCCGGUCUAAGUUCCUUGGAACAGGACGUCAUAGAGGGUGAGAAUCCCGUAUGUGACUGGCUUGCACCCUCCACGUAGCUCCUUCGACGAGUCGAGUUGUUUGGGAAUGCAGCUCUAAAUGGGAGGUAAAUUUCUUCUAAAGCUAAAUACCGGCCAGAGACCGAUAGCGCACAAGUAGAGUGAUCGAAAGAUGAAAAGCACUUUGGAAAGAGAGUUAAAAAGCACGUGAAAUUGUUGAAAGGGAAGCGCCCGCAACCAGACUUUGCGGCGGUGUUCGGCUGGUCUUCUGACCGGUUUACUCGCCGCCGUGAGGCCAUCAUCGUCUGGGACCGCUGGAUAAGACCUGAGGAAUGUAGCUCCCUUCGGGGUGUGUUAUAGCCUCUGGUGAUGCAGCGCGUCUCGGGCGAGGUCCGCGCUUCGGCAAGGAUGAUGGCGUAAUGGUUGUCGGCGGCCCGUCUUGAAACACGGACCAAGGAGUCUAACAUCUAUGCGAGUGUUCGGGUGUCAAACCCCUACGCGUAAUGAAAGUGAACGGAGGUGGGAACUUUUUGUGCACCAUCGACCGAUCCUGAUGUCCUCGGAUGGAUUUGAGUAAGAGCAUAGCUGUUGGGACCCGAAAGAUGGUGAACUAUGCCUGAAUAGGGUGAAGCCAGAGGAAACUCUGGUGGAGGCUCGCAGCGGUUCUGACGUGCAAAUCGAUCGUCAAAUUUGGGUAUAGGGGCGAAAGACUAAUCG
This 857-nucleotide ribosomal RNA is filed under the name Pseudocercospora puerariicola. Its description in RNAcentral is "eukaryotic LSU rRNA". It matches the Rfam family "Eukaryotic large subunit ribosomal RNA", at positions 48 to 937 of the family's 3401-position model. The record is from RNAcentral. Lineage: Eukaryota; Fungi; Ascomycota; Dothideomycetes; Mycosphaerellales; Mycosphaerellaceae.